Molecule: long non-coding RNA, 791 nt
Filed under: Neogobius melanostomus (round goby)
Lineage: Eukaryota; Metazoa; Chordata; Actinopteri; Gobiiformes; Gobiidae
Description: lncRNA (ENSNMLG00000026962.1)
Source: RNAcentral
UGAGCUUCCAAACAGCAGAUGGCGCUGUCUUAGAUCUGCUGUGCUGAAUCUGAGGCGGCUCCGGUCUGUCCUUUACAUGAUGAGGUUUAUCUCUGUGUUUAACGGCUCUGACUCUCCCCCAGGACAAGACGAGGAGGAAAUGUCAAAAAGAAAAGAACAGCCUCUGGCUCUGAGCCUCCAGAGGGCAGCACUGAGCCUCCAGAGGGCAGCACUGAGCCACAGCUCUAUGGGACAAAACGCAGAUCCACAGCCUCAGUGUCCGCUCUGUCCAUGAAGAGUGACUGGUCUAAAGGCCACGUUCCAAACUUCAGUCCUGAACCUGCUCCAGACUCACGAAGCAGAUCCACAGCCUCAGUGUCCGCUCUGUCCAUGAAGAGUGACUGGUCUAAAGGCCACGUUCCAAACUUCAGUCCUGAACCUGCUCCAGACUCACGAAGCAGAUCUACAGCCUCAGUGUCCGCUCUGUCCAUGAAGAGUGACUGGUCUAAAGGCCACGUUCCAAACUUCAGUCCUGAACCUGCUCCAGACUCACGAAGCAGAUCUACAGCCUCAGUGUCCGCUCUGUCCAUGAAGAGUGACAGGUCUAAAGAGUUCCCUCCAGAGUUCAGUGGUGAACCUGCUCCAGACUCACAAGAAACAGAGUCAGAGCAGGACGCCUGGCCUCAGUGUGGAGACACAGGCAACAGUCCUGAUCAGUGGGUUCAAGGCCCUGCACCAGGUGAGUCUGCUCAGUCUGAGACUCAUGAACUACAGCAGGGAAUAAGAGACCUGUUCAUCAACAUUAACAGGUG